Molecule: ribosomal RNA, 423 nt
Filed under: uncultured bacterium
Lineage: Bacteria
Description: partial 16S ribosomal RNA
Rfam family: Bacterial small subunit ribosomal RNA
Source: RNAcentral
AAUUUUGGACAAUGGGGGAAACCCUGAUCCAGCCAUCCCGCGUGUAUGAUGAAGGCCUUCGGGUUGUAAAGUACUUUUGGCAGAGAAGAAAAGGUACCUCCUAAUACGAGGUACUGCUGACGGUAUCUGCAGAAUAAGCACCGGCUAACUACGUGCCAGCAGCCGCGGUAAUACGUAUGGUGCAAGCGUUAAUCGGAAUUACUGGGCGGAAAGCGUGUUUAGGCGGGUGGGAAAGAAAGAAGUGAAAACCCAGGGCUCAACCUUGGAACUGGAUUUUUAAAUGCCGGGGUAGAGUAUGGCAGGGGGGGGUAGAAUUCCACGUGUAGCGGUGAAAUGCGUAGAUAUGUGGAGGAAUACCGAUGGCGAAGGCAGCCCCCUGGGAUAAUACUGACGCUCAGACACGAAAGCGUGGGGAGCAAACAG